AUGGACCAGUGGGUGGGGAAGGGGCGCCUUUGGACUACAGCUGCACAUCAGGCGCGGGCGCGAGCCAGGGACCCCCAAGCCCACCGCACAGGACAUAAAGUGAAACCUGGGGAUUCACCCCAAGUCCCCAGGCCACGAGGCAGCCUGGGUCCCCGCGUGGGCGCCGACGGGGCGGGCCCACAGGCACCCCUCCCACAGUGGGGGGGAGAAGGGGGCGGGGACGCGCCGCUGUCGCGAAGGGCGGAGACAGACCUGCCUCGUCUCGUCCCAGGCUCCGCGCGCGAUCCCCGCCCCCGGGCCACGGGAAGGAAAGGGAAGGGAGGAGGGGUGGCGGCCGGACGCUGGGGUUUCCCCAGCCUCCCCGGAGGAACUGCAACUCCGGGGUCCGCAGUGCCGGCCUUCAGCCCUGCGGGGUCCUCCUUCCUCUUCGGGAAAAGCGAGCUCCUCCCCGCCGCGCGUGGCACCCAUGUGGGGCAGCCUCACCCCCACCUGCUCACUUUUUUCACCUGGGCCUCGCACGGGCGCCCCCGCCCAGACCUCCCCCCAACCGCUCCACUCCUCGUCCGGCCCGUCCCAUCCCACAGCGAGCGGGUUUCGCGGCUCAGCGCCCAGAGCACCGCCACCUCCCCUCUGCCCCAUCCCAACACACCUUUCCCACGCCCCUCCCCUCUCCGGAAGCCCCUUCCCCGACCCAGGAGUCCUGGUUCCUGGGAUUCCCUGCUCUGUGCCUUCACUCCGGCUGCAAGCACGCGCGACCCUCUGCACACACCCUGGGCUCGCGCUCCGGGUCUCCGCUCCUCUCCCGUCAGCCUCCUCCUCCCACCGCCGGCCUCGCGUCCCAUGCCCGCACCCAUCACGCAGACCACCGCCUCUUUGCCACGAUCCCUGCAGUCCCGCGUGUCCUGUGCGCCCUGGAAGCAGGUCCACGCUCCUGGCACUUUGCUGCUGUUCGCUUUUGCUCCUUCCGUCUUUCUGUUUCGUGACCCCCAAUUCUGCCCAGCUUUCUCAUUGGCUCCCUUUCCCACAGACAGGGGCUCAGUCUCUCCCCGCAGAGCACCCCUCUCUGCAGCUCCCACCACGCGACCCCCGCAUUCCACGGGCCCUGCGGAGGGAACGGCUUCUACCCCAUUGCCUGUGUCCCCCGGGACCUCCCUCGACCCCGCGGGUCCCGUGCACUUGGCGCACUGUUCCAGGACCAGUCCCUGA
This 1206-nucleotide long non-coding RNA is filed under the name Oryctolagus cuniculus (rabbit). RNAcentral's name for it is "lncRNA (ENSOCUG00000038050.1)". Lineage: Eukaryota; Metazoa; Chordata; Mammalia; Lagomorpha; Leporidae. The record is from RNAcentral.